AACUCCUUCUCUUUCAGCUCCUCUGCUUUCAGGAAGUCAUCAUAACAGCAUUUCUCCAUUAAGCCUUUAACAAUGAUUUUACCAGUGUUUCACUGAGAAGU
Xiphophorus couchianus (Monterrey platyfish) is the source of this 101-nucleotide long non-coding RNA. RefSeq lists it as uncharacterized. The transcript has 3 exons. The record is from RefSeq and is a predicted model, not a curated record. NCBI's taxonomy places the organism in Eukaryota, Metazoa, Chordata, Actinopteri, Cyprinodontiformes, Poeciliidae.